Molecule: small RNA, 28 nt
Filed under: Bombyx mori (domestic silkworm)
Lineage: Eukaryota; Metazoa; Arthropoda; Insecta; Lepidoptera; Bombycidae
Description: ovarian small RNA-35351
Source: RNAcentral
UGUAAUAGAGAAGCAUGCUUUCACCGGG